UACAGAGGUCUCAAGCGUUGUUCGGAUUCAUUGGGCGUAAAGGGUGUGUAGGAGGUCGGGUCAGUCAGGUGUGAAAUCUCAGAGCUUAACUCUGAAACUGCGCUUGAUACUGCUCGGCUAGAGGAUCGGAGGGGGUAUCGGAAUUUAUGGUGUAGCAGUGAAAUGCGUAGAUAUCAUAAGGAACACCGGUGGCGAAGGCGGAUACCUGGAAGAUUCCUGACUCUGAAACACGAAAGCCAGGGGAGCAAACGGG
This 253-nucleotide ribosomal RNA is filed under the name uncultured bacterium. Its description in RNAcentral is "partial 16S ribosomal RNA". It matches the Rfam family "Bacterial small subunit ribosomal RNA", at positions 524 to 776 of the family's 1533-position model. The record is from RNAcentral.